UUGAACGCUGGCGGCAUGCUUUACACAUGCAAGUCGAACGGUAACAGGCCUUCGGGCGCUGACGAGUGGCGAACGGGUGAGUAAUGCAUCGGAACGUGCCCAGAGGUGGGGAUAACGCAGCGAAAGCUGUGCUAAUACCGCAUAUUAUCUGAGGAUGAAAGCGGGGGACUAAGCAGCAAUGUUUGGCCUCGCGCCUUUGGAGCGGCCGAUGUCAGAUUAGGUAGUUGGUGGGGUAAAGGCCUACCAAGCCGACGAUCCUUAGCUGGUCUGAGAGGAUGAUCAGCCACACUGGGACUGAGACACGGCCCAGACUCCUACGGGAGGCAGCAGUGGGGAAUAUUGGACAAUGGGCGAAAGCCUGAUCCAGCAAUGCCGCGUGAGUGAUGAAGGCCUUCGGGUCGUAAAGCUCUUUUACCAGGGAUGAUAAUGACAGUACCUGGAGAAUAAGCUCCGGCUAACUCCGUG
RNAcentral lists this ribosomal RNA (465 nucleotides) under uncultured bacterium. RNAcentral's name for it is "bacterial SSU rRNA". It matches the Rfam family "Bacterial small subunit ribosomal RNA", at positions 30 to 507 of the family's 1533-position model. The record is from RNAcentral.